Molecule: unclassified non-coding RNA, 405 nt
Filed under: soil metagenome
Description: partial contains 5.8S ribosomal RNA, internal transcribed spacer 2, and large subunit ribosomal RNA
Rfam family: 5.8S ribosomal RNA (bases 1-121)
Source: RNAcentral
GAUGAAGAACGUAGCGAAAUGCGAUAAGUAAUGUGAAUUGCAGAAUUCAGUGAAUCAUCGAAUCUUUGAACGCACCUUGCGCCCUUUGGCCAUUCCGAAGGGCAUGCCUGUUUGAGUAUCAUGAACACCUCAACUCUUUAUGGUUUUCCAUGAUGAGCUUGGACUCUGGGGGUUUUGCUGGCUCACAGUCGGCUCCUCUAAAAUGAAUCAGCUUACCAGGGUUUGGUGGGUAUCAUGGGUGUGAUAACUAUCUACGCUUGUGGUUUUUCCACCAGGUAACCUUCAGCAGUGGAGGUUCGCUGGAGCUCAUAGAUGUCUCUCCUCAGUGAGGACAGCCCUUUGAAUGUUUGAUCUCAAAUCAGGUAGGACUACCCGCUGAACUUAAGCAUAUCAAUAAGCGGAGGA